UUUAACGAAAGUGGCGAACGGGUGAGUAACACGUGAGCAACCUGCCUUACACAGGGGGAUAGCCAUUGGAAACGGUGAUUAAUACCCCAUAAGACCACAAUACCGCAUGGUAAAAGGGUAAAAGGGAUACCGGUGUAAGAUGGGCUCGCGUCUGAUUAGCUAGUUGGUGGGGUAAAGGCCUACCAAGGCGACGAUCAGUAGCCGGUCUGAGAGGAUGAACGGCCACAUUGGAACUGAGAUACGGCCCAGACUCCUACGGGAGGCAGCAGCC
RNAcentral lists this ribosomal RNA (271 nucleotides) under uncultured Parvimonas sp. RNAcentral describes it as "partial 16S ribosomal RNA". It matches the Rfam family "Bacterial small subunit ribosomal RNA", at positions 85 to 355 of the family's 1533-position model. Lineage: Bacteria; Bacillati; Bacillota; Tissierellia; Tissierellales; Peptoniphilaceae. The record is from RNAcentral.